GUGUCAGCCGCCGCGGUAAGACGAACCGUCCAAACGUUAUUCGGAAUCACUGGGCUUAAAGGGUACGUAGGCGGCUUGGAAAGUUGGGUGUGAAAUCCCUCGGCUCAACCGAGGAACUGCCCUCAAAACUGCCAGGCUUGAGGGAGAUAGAGGUAAGCGGAACUCAGGGUGGAGCGGUGGAAUGCGUUGAUAUCCUGGGGAACACCAGUUGCGAAGGCGGCUUACUGGGUCUCUUCUGACGCUGAGGUACGAAAGCUAGGGGAGCGAACGGGAUUAGAUACCCCGGUAGUCCUAGCUGUAAACGUUGAGCACUAGAUCGGAGGACUUCGGUUUUCCGGUCGCAGCGAAAGUAUUAAGUGCUCCGCCUGGGGAGUAUGGUCGCAAGGCUGAAACUUAAAUAAAUUGGCGC
Molecule: ribosomal RNA, 409 nt
Filed under: uncultured bacterium
Lineage: Bacteria
Description: partial 16S ribosomal RNA
Rfam family: Bacterial small subunit ribosomal RNA
Source: RNAcentral